GGAUGGAACAGCGGAGGGUGCACCCACGACAGGUCUUUCACAAGGCAGAAAGCUUCUGGAGACCCUGAAUCUUCUGGUGUCCUCACUGUGGACUCCCCAGCCCACGGAACAGGGCAGUAAUGGGCCUGACUGGAUCCGUUUCUACUCUCUUGCCCGGUGGUAGGACCUGAAGGCAUUUAUGUUCACCAAGGAUUUCCGACAGGCAGCCUCUGGACUAAUUUCCGGUGUUCAUCUGAGUGAUGAUGUUCUUCAUGUGAAAAAUCUUAAAGCUUCAAUUGUGGGAAUAUUUAGACAGUCUGAAAUGUUCAGAUGUUUCUUUACUUUGAAUUUUCCUUUCUUUUUUUACCUGCAAAGUAGAUAGUUCAAAUUCUCUGGGAAAAAAAAAUCUUUGAAAUAGGUAAAAGAGAAAAUGAUAAUGUAAUUAGAAGAUUUGAAUCAUUUUCUAAAAUGCUUUUAAAUGCCAUACUGGUGGGAAAAAAAGCUGAUUAAGAAACAAAUGUUCUUGUGAGGCAGGGGCACUUUAUAAUAUGAAUUGAUUCUUUUGAACUUGAGACUCUGUUUAUCCAGUAACUUAUAUUUUAAGGUCAAUGGUUUUUACAUCUCAGAUUAUGAAACUGUAGAUGCUUAGUAAAAAUGUGGAAACAUUCAGAACAAGCUACAACAAAGAAAAUAUUAAAAAUGGAUGGAUGGCCCAAUAAAUCAAAGAUCCAUUUGCAUGUAGACCAGCAUUUUUUUCUGUGUAUAGAACUGCUUUCUUUUCUGGUUUGCUUUGUUUAUUUUUUAAUUUUAAUAAUACAAAUAGUGGCAUUGCAAAAUGCAAAGAAUAUACAAGUAUAUGCAAUACAAAGAAAAAAACUAACUUUCACUUUGUACAGCCCUGAUACCUUGUUUAGAGUAAACACUUUCUAAUUAAAAAUGUGACCAUCCAGGUCUGCUCUGUUUCAUUUAGUUAUAUAGUUACAUUUAUCUAUGUUUAUACUUUCAAAUAUAACAUAAUACACAAAUAUAAUAUGUAUACACAUAUUUGAUAUAUAUAUCUUAUUUAUGUCAUAUAUAUGAUGUAUAAAUACAGUUUCCUUAACAUUAUAUUGAAAAACUUUCCUGUAUAGUAAAAACUUAAUAAAAGCAUGUUUUAUCAUUAACUAUCUUGUAACUCAUUAGAUCAUCACAUAUUGAUAAAACUAGUUGUCUAUUUUAAACUUUAACACUGAAAUGGACAUUAUUUUAUAUGCAUUUUUCACAUCUAUAUCUUUAAAACAGAUCCAUAACCUGAAAUAGAUAAAAAAAGAUUUAAUUUGUUUCUUGAUACUUAAUGCAAAUAUUUCCCUUUUAAUAAAUGUAUCCCCAAAUACAUGCAUAGUAGUUCUAGUAUUUCUUGAUUUUACAAAUCUGGAAGACAGGGACGAGUUAGAAAUCCCUUCUCAUCCUCUGUCCUCAGAAUUUAUCAUCCAAAAGCAACAUAAAUUAAAAGUGUUACCAAGCAGUAUUUCCCAACCUUUGCUGCAUGAUCAUCUAGAGAUUACUAAAAAAUACUGAUGCGUGGCUCCGAGCCCUCAGAUCUCCUGAUUUAAUUGAGAUGGGUGGAAACUGAACAGUGGGAUUUUUAAAAGCUCCCCAGGUGGCUCUAAUGUGCAGCAAAAUGUGGAAACUGCUGUCAGAGUAGUUAGUCAUUGGAAGAUACCCAGACCCAUGAAGCUAAGAGGUCAAAUGAAGGUCAUUGUACAGAUUCUAUGCUCGCUACUUAGUAGGAAAAGUAUUUCUUCUAGUAGUGAAAACAGUGCUGAUAGUAUUCAAUACUAUUAAUCACCUAGACUCUCAAAUAAAAUAAAUCCAACUAGAAAAAUAUGAUCAACCUAACCUAAUACUAUAAUACUCUCAAGCAUUAGAUUUGUAAAAGCAUCUUUCCCCAGUGACUG
Long non-coding RNA from Cavia porcellus (domestic guinea pig), 1916 nucleotides. RefSeq lists it as uncharacterized. The record is from RefSeq and is a predicted model, not a curated record. NCBI's taxonomy places the organism in Eukaryota, Metazoa, Chordata, Mammalia, Rodentia, Caviidae. The transcript has 3 exons.